Long non-coding RNA from Triticum aestivum (bread wheat), 1752 nucleotides. RefSeq lists it as uncharacterized. The transcript is spliced from 3 exons. NCBI's taxonomy places the organism in Eukaryota, Viridiplantae, Streptophyta, Magnoliopsida, Poales, Poaceae. The record is from RefSeq and is a predicted model, not a curated record.
CGAACACUGUAGCUACCGAACCCAAACCGAGAUCGAAUCGAUCGAUUCGAUCGAUCCUUUGCACUCCCACCUCCAUAUAUAUACUCCCCACGUCCGGCUUGUCUGAUUUUUCGCCAAAAUCGCAGUCUCCCGUGCCCUAGGUUGAUUUCGCGAUCUCGCCGGAGUUCCACCGCUGCUGACCUCCGCCGUCGUCGUUUCCGUCGCCUACAGGGAGUACCGAACCGAGCGCAAGGACCUCGAUCCGAAGAUCACAGCCACCGCACGACUCCAGCCACCCUCUGCCGUCAACCCCGUUCGCCACCGACGCCUCUGAGGACUUCUUCGAGACUGCAUCCGAGCUCCGCGCCCCGUACGCUACCCUCCGGAGUCUCGAGACCACCGGAGCAGGCGCCACCAUCGCCGCCCGAGCCGCCGCGCCGCUGUUUUGUCCAAGUCCGGCCGCCCCAGCCUCUGUUCCUCUUCGAUUGUUCGGAGUGUGAAGCGGAUCGGAAUUAAUCGUUAGAGUACUUCAGCACCGUUCAAGGCAAGUUUGCACUUUUGAUUUUGCUCAUCAUAUAUUCUGCUAUGCAAGUGUGAUUUUGGUGCUAUGAUAUAUGCUUGGCCUGAUAUGUGUAUCUCGUGUUAUGUUUGGUAUUGAUUGUGUUAUGUGAUGGUGUGAUCAAAUUAGUAUGGUAGACACGGGCAUGUGUCGAGUGAUCCAUGAAAGUGGUGAGUGUUUAUAGCCGUAGGCUCGGGAUUAUUAACCAGGUGAAUGCGUCACUGGCAGAGCGCUCUAUUGUCCCUAGAGAAUGCGCCAUUGACAGAGCGCACUUGAGGCAAGGUAUAGUUUUCGGAACUUAAAUCAGGUGAAUGCGUCCUUGGCAGAGCGCUCUAUUGUUCCUAGAGAAUGCGCCACUGACAGAGCGCACUUGAGAGACUUCUGAAGUUCUUGUCAUGUUUAUUUAGAAUCUUUGGGUUAUCUUGGGCGAGUAAACUAGAGACGGUUGUGAGUUUAGGUAGUGGAGGUAGGUGAAGACAUUCUUCUCCAAACUAACUUGUGUGUUUUGUUUGUCAUACAAUGCUUUGUGGAGGUAGGUUUGCUAUAUCAUAUUGUGUGAUUUGCCAAUACAUUCAAUGUAUUUACCCUUUGUGGCUACAACUUAUCAUGUUGCGGGAUUUUCAGAUGAUCAGUGAGAUACAGUAGGGUUGCGAGUCUUCAGUCAACAUGUUCUCCAGUGGGCAUUGAUGGACUCAUCGUUGAUUAUGCUACCUUUCCGCAGUUAUUAUUGAAUAAGUUAGCCAUGUGCUAUUUAGUUUGUAAUAAUUUAUAAAUUCUGGAUCAUACGUUAUAGUAAAUGAUGCACUUGUUAUUUGAUAUUCAUAUGUACUGUGUGUGCUAGCGAGUCGAUCCAGGGACUAGCACAGUGAGCACAGAGACAUCGAGUCUUAUCAGAUUCGAGUCGUUACAGAUGGUAUCAGAGCAGUGUGUUAACUGUAGGUCGUGACCCUAGAAAAUGGAUUAGAAAAGCCAUAAAAGUGAAAACUUACUUUACAACUUGUUGUCUACUUGUUAGUUCAUACUCUUGUACUCAUAUCUUUACUUUUCAAAUAUAGAUGACCCCUGAAAUUAUAUUAGUGUUAUUUAAGGAGUUUAGUUUGAAGACCACCAUUCCUAAGUUGUGUUCGAUAAACGAUUUGCGGUAGUAUGAUGAGAUCAUAUCUCUUGUGGAUAUGACCUUACCUGUAGGUUUUGCUUGUGUUGUGUGGUAUGUG